RNAcentral lists this ribosomal RNA (442 nucleotides) under uncultured bacterium. RNAcentral's name for it is "partial 16S ribosomal RNA". It matches the Rfam family "Bacterial small subunit ribosomal RNA", at positions 338 to 795 of the family's 1533-position model. The record is from RNAcentral.
CCUACGGGUGGCAGCAGUAGGGAAUCUUUCACAAUGGGCGAAAGCCUGAUGGAGCAAUGCCGCGUGCAGGAUGAAGGCCUUCGGGUGGUAAACUGCUUUUAUAAGCGAGAAAUAUGAUGGUAACUUAUGAAUAAGGAUCGGCUAACUACGUGCCAGCAGCCGCGGUCAAACGUAGGAGCCGAGCAUUAUCCGGGGUUACUGGGUGUAAAGAGUUGCGUAGGUGGGAUAGUAAGUAGCUAGUGUAAGCUGGUGGCUCAACCAUUCGGACUACUAGCUAAACUGUUAAGCUCGAGAGCGUUAGGGGUAACUGGAAUUUGUAGUGUAGGGGUGAAAUGCGUAGAUAUUAGAAAGAACACCGAUAGCGUAGGCAGGUUACUGGGACGGUUCUGACGCUGAGGCACGAAAGCGUAGGGAGCAAACGGGAUUAGAUACCCUUGUAGUC